GACGAACGCUGGCGGCGUGCCUAAUACAUGCAAGUAGAACGCUGAAGGAGGAGCUUGCUCUUCUGGAUGAGUUGCGAACGGGUGAGUAACGCGUAGGUAACCUGCCUGGUAGCGGGGGAUAACUAUUGGAAACGAUAGCUAAUACCGCAUAACAGUAGAUGUUGCAUGACAUUUACUUAAAAGGUGCAAUUGCAUCACUACCAGAUGGACCUGCGUUGUAUUAGCUAGUUGGUGGGGUAACGGCUCACCAAGGCGACGAUACAUAGCCGACCUGAGAGGGUGAUCAGCCACACUGGGACUGAGACACGGCCCAGACUCCUACGGGAGGCAGCAGUAGGGAAUCUUCGGCAAUGGACGGAAGUCUGACCGAGCAACGCCGCGUGAGUGAAGAAGGUUUUCGGAUCGUAAAGCUCUGUUGUAAGAGAAGAACGAGUGUGAGAGUGGAAAGUUCACACUGUGACGGUAUCUUACCAGAAAGGGACGGCUAACUACGUG
This 495-nucleotide ribosomal RNA is filed under the name uncultured bacterium. RNAcentral's name for it is "partial 16S ribosomal RNA". It matches the Rfam family "Bacterial small subunit ribosomal RNA", at positions 28 to 507 of the family's 1533-position model. The record is from RNAcentral.